GUGCUUGCUUCAGCAGCACAUAUAUGAAAAUUGGAACAAUAGAGAGAAGAUUAGCAUGGGCCCUGUGUAAGGAUGACAUGCAAAUUCAUGAAGCAUUCCAUAUUUUU
This 107-nucleotide small nuclear RNA is filed under the name Choloepus hoffmanni (Hoffmann's two-fingered sloth). The record is from RNAcentral. Lineage: Eukaryota; Metazoa; Chordata; Mammalia; Pilosa; Megalonychidae.